GACGAACGCUGGCGGCGUGCCUAAUACAUGCAAGUCGAACGCUGAGGGGAGGAGCUUGCUCUUCCUGGGUUAGUUGCGAACGGGUGAGUAACGCGUGGGUAACCCACCUGUAAGCGGGGGAUAACUUUUGGAAACGGUAGCUAAUACCGCAUAAAAUUGUUUAUUGCAUGAUUGUCAAUUAAAAGAUGCAACUGCACCACUACCAGAUGGAACUGCGUUGUAUUAGCUUGUUUGGUGAGUUACGGGUUAACAAGGCGAAGAAUCAUAGCCGAACUGAGAGGGUGAUCCGCCACACUGGGACUGAGAAACGGCCCAGACUUCUACGGGGGGCAGCAGGAGGGAAUCCUCGGGAAAGGACGGAAGUCUGACCGAGCAACGCCGCGUGAGUGAAGAAGGGUUUCGGAUCGUAAAGCCCUGGUGUAAGGGAAGAACGAGAUGUGGAGGGGAAAGUGCACACUGUGACGGUACCUUACCAGAAAGGGACGGCUAACUACGUG
Molecule: ribosomal RNA, 497 nt
Filed under: uncultured bacterium
Lineage: Bacteria
Description: partial 16S ribosomal RNA
Rfam family: Bacterial small subunit ribosomal RNA
Source: RNAcentral